Molecule: ribosomal RNA, 519 nt
Filed under: uncultured bacterium
Lineage: Bacteria
Description: bacterial SSU rRNA
Rfam family: Bacterial small subunit ribosomal RNA
Source: RNAcentral
AGAGUUUGAUCGUGGCUCAGAUUGAACGCUGGCGGCAUGCCUUACACAUGCAAGUCGAACGGUAACAGGUCCUCGGACGCUGACGAGUGGCGAACGGGUGAGUAAUACAUCGGAACGUGCCCAGUCGUGGGGGAUAACUACUCGAAAGAGUAGCUAAUACCGCAUACGAUCUGAGGAUGAAAGCGGGGGACCUUCGGGCCUCGCGCGAUUGGAGCGGCCGAUGGCAGAUUAGGUAGUUGGUGGGAUAAAAGCUUACCAAGCCGACGAUCUGUAGCUGGUCUGAGAGGACGACCAGCCACACUGGGACUGAGACACGGCCCAGACUCCUACGGGAGGCAGCAGUGGGGAAUUUUGGACAAUGGGCGAAAGCCUGAUCCAGCAAUGCCGCGUGCAGGAUGAAGGCCUUCGGGUUGUAAACUGCUUUUGUACGGAACGAAAAAGCUUUCUCCUAAUACGAGAGGCCCAUGACGGUACCGUAAGACUAAGUUCCCGGCUAUCUACGUGCUAGCAGCCGCGGUA